This 292-nucleotide ribosomal RNA is filed under the name uncultured bacterium. Its description in RNAcentral is "partial 16S ribosomal RNA". The record is from RNAcentral.
GGACUACUGGGGUAUCUAAUCCCAUUUGCUCCCCUAGCUUUCGUUCCUCAGCGUCAGUUACAGCCCAGCAAGCCGCUUGCGCCACCGGUGUUCUUCCCAAUAUCUACGCAUUUCACCGCUACACUGGGAAUUCCGCUUGCCUCUACUGCACUCCAGUCUUACAGUAUCCAGUGCUGUACCAGGGUUGAGCCCCAGCCUUUUACACCAGACUUAUAAAACCACCUACGAACUCUUUACGCCCAAUAAAUCCGGACAACGCUCGCAUCCUACGUCUUACCGCGGCGGCUGGCAC